AGAAAAAAAAAAGUAGGUGAGCAGAAGUUGAAUGUAAACGAUGACAAAGUUUUGGCCCAGUGUCCGCCCACGAGCCCUGUUCUCUUACCCUUUUUUAUAGAUAAGGUUGUCAUAACCAUCGGAUGUGGUCCCGUAUUUUAUAGCACUAAAUCAUCGGGCCAUAGUCACGUAGUGAAUCGUUAAUUCUCACUAAUUGCAUCAUUAUAUACGGCCGGUAACC
RNAcentral lists this long non-coding RNA (220 nucleotides) under Elaeis guineensis (African oil palm). RNAcentral's name for it is "long non-coding RNA (EGUI_LNC025523)". Lineage: Eukaryota; Viridiplantae; Streptophyta; Magnoliopsida; Arecales; Arecaceae. The record is from RNAcentral.